Molecule: long non-coding RNA, 804 nt
Organism: Populus nigra (black poplar)
Lineage: Eukaryota; Viridiplantae; Streptophyta; Magnoliopsida; Malpighiales; Salicaceae
Exons: 2
Source: RefSeq, a predicted model, not a curated record
ACAAUAAUAGAGAUUGAAGGAAGAGAUUCUUGCAAAGAAAAACCUAAAUAUCAACAAGAAAAAAAAUGAUCCAAAAAAUUAUUAAAAACAAACCAUAUUUCUGAAUUGUCAGUCUCUCUUUACCAGAGAAGGUCAUCUACACUACCAUCAUCAGGAGGAGAAAGAAGAGGAGAAGUAGCUACCCCAAGAUUCCUCGUGCCUCCCUUCCUUGAUGGUGUGUAAAAAACACCCUGCCAUCCUGAUUGGUCCUCCACGGGUUUAGUCAACGCACUAAUACUGUUUUGUUUUCCAUCCAUUAUUUGUACUGUUAUAACCUCUUUGGUCUAGCUCUAAUUGACUGACAACUCGUAAAGGCGAUUAAUGAGAGGCAAUAUAUAUUGGUGUCCUUCUCCGCUGGCUCUUCAAAGGUCACAGACUUCCUCGACUGUUGACGACAGGGGGCGGGCGGGUGGUGCUAACCAUGGUCCAAGGCGCCAAGGGACAAAGGGGCCGAAAGCACUAGACAAAGGGGAUAAGGUGGUUCUCAUUUUCCAGUCCCCCCACCCCCCACCCCCCACAGAAGAAAGAAAGAGCUAUGUGCCCUCUUAUUUCUUCCAUGAUCGAUCCUUCACUGAACUUUUCCAUGUUCAUUUCAUUUCACAUUUGAUUUUAUGGGGCUGUAUAUUGUAAACCACCUCAUCAAAUGAGACUUUGGAGUCCUCUCUGUGGGUCAGUUUUCUUUUUGUAUCUCACCACUUUGAGAUUUCGGGGCUAAUUCAUUCAAUCGGAAAGUGGAAAAACAGUCAACUUAUAUCAUGGUUGAUA